RNAcentral lists this small RNA (128 nucleotides) under human gut metagenome. RNAcentral describes it as "Ribosomal protein L20 leader". It matches the Rfam family "Ribosomal protein L20 leader". From Rfam's summary of the family: This family is a putative r-protein leader autoregulatory structure found in B. subtilis and other low-GC Gram-positive bacteria. It is located in the 5' untranslated regions of mRNAs encoding initiation factor 3 followed by ribosomal proteins L35 and L20 (infC-rpmI-rplT). The record is from RNAcentral.
AACAAAGCAGAAGUAUCCGCUUCUCACCUUGCGGCACAAAGCACGACAGGGUUAAUAAAUAUAACUUUAGGCAUAAGCCUUUAUGUAGAUUUUUUGCGGAUAGUUUUGCUGUCCGCUUUUUUUAUUUU